CCUACGGGGUGCAGCAGUGGGGAAUAUUGGACAAUGGGCGAAAGCCUGAUCCAGCCAUGCCGCGUGUGUGAAGAAGGCCUUCGGGUUGUAAAGCACUUUCAGUGGGGAAGAAAGCCUUGGGGCUAAUACCCUCGAGGAAGGACAUCACCCACAGAAGAAGCACCGGCUAACUCCGUGCCAGCAGCCGCGGUAAUACGGAGGGUGCGAGCGUUAAUCGGAAUUACUGGGCGUAAAGCGCGCGUAGGCGGUCUGAUAAGCCGGUUGUGAAAGCCCCGGGCUCAACCUGGGAACGGCAUCCGGAACUGGCAGGCUAGAGUGCAGGAGAGGAAGGUAGAAUUCCCGGUGUAGCGGUGAAAUGCGUAGAGAUCGGGAGGAAUACCAGUGGCGAAGGCGGCCUUCUGGACUGACACUGACGCUGAGGUGCGAAAGCGUGGGUAGCAAACAGGAUUAGAUACCCCAGUAGUC
This 465-nucleotide ribosomal RNA is filed under the name Vreelandella stevensii. RNAcentral describes it as "partial 16S ribosomal RNA". It matches the Rfam family "Bacterial small subunit ribosomal RNA", at positions 338 to 795 of the family's 1533-position model. The record is from RNAcentral. Lineage: Bacteria; Pseudomonadati; Pseudomonadota; Gammaproteobacteria; Oceanospirillales; Halomonadaceae.